CCCGGACUUUUUACGUAAGGUGACAUAUCUGUGCUGGAAUCAUCACAAGGAGAUACGUCAAAUUGACACCGUCCGUGCAUACACCUUUGGGUCACAUUACUUUGCAGAAGUCGAUAUUGUGCUGGCAGCAGACAUGCCUCUGCGCCAGGCACAUGAUAUUGGCGAAUCACUUCAAGACAAACUUGAGUCGCUACCGGAGAUUGAACGAGCUUUUGUUCACCUCGAUUACGAGGUUACUCAUCGACCGGAGCAUGCCUACAGAGAUAAGUGACGAUGCACUAGGCACACCAAUCCUGGCUUCGAGUCAGCCUUGCCAAGCAAACAACUCCACCCAACUGAUUGCCCCCCUCCCUCUGAAUGAUCUGAACUUCUUAGACUUCAUAACAAAAAGGACUAUCACUGUAAAUACCUGCUGCCCUCUCAAAACAAGAGAUAGGUCCCACAACACGCAGUUUUCAAACCAACUACCUUAAUAAAUGGUUGUGAAUCCAACACAAGCAAAGGAAAGGCAUACCAAAUGCCAUGAUCAAACGCAUCCGAGAAGUACCACAAGGGCUUCGAAAUCAGAUGGAAAACCUAGCGGCAGAAAACAAAUCAGGUUCGAUGUAACGACCAGCAUGUGAUUGAACAUGUCCACUUAAUACGAUUGAUGUAACCAAAUGCUCCAUAAACAGUCAAUAAACUUGGUUAGACGGACACGCUAGUUGCAUAUCCUCGAAUUGCCCGCGGAUGAUGAUGUGCGCUGUGUGCAUCACUUGUGAUGUCGGAGGAAGGAGUGAGCGACUGCGGGAGGUGUUGGGGGCAACGGAGCGGUGUGGUUGAGCGGGUCACCUCAUGUGGAACGGGGUGUUGUCAACAGAGAGGAAGGUCACCUUUUGGAUAGAGCUGUUUGAAUGUGUGCACAGUUGUUGACAUGACCGGAGAGCGGAGUUGAGAAUGCGUGGGGUGAUUGGAGUGAACGUUUGGGGGCUCGUGGAAGGAGCGUGGUCCAUCCCAACCAUGGUGGAGCGCAGCGGCGGCAAAUGCAGAAACGGCUCCGAGGAAAAGAAGGUGAUGGUGAGACCUGGACAGUGGGCGCAUCUGGGAGUGGGAUUACAGCCAGGAUGGAGCCAAAUACAUGGAUUCCGUCAAGGCAGCCAGGGGUGGCGCGGAGGGAACGAGGGACAAAAGCAGUCCCAGGACCGAAAGCCGGGACAGAAUCCGGUGGAAAGGGAGCGCUGGGGGAAGGGGGCAAGGGAUUUGCGACGGCGCAUGGGCCACUCAGCGGGGUCAGAGGGGGCGGCGGUGAGUGGUGCCUGGGGCGGGAUUGGGUUGAUAUUGAGAACCGGAUGAGAGACGUGCAUCGCCGUGGGAUCCGUGGCGCAAUGGUAGCGCGUCUGACUCCAGAUCAGAAGGUUGCGUGUUCGAUUCACGUCGGGUUCAAACUCCCGAAGGAAAUGGUGACCACCCUGCGGCCUCCCUAGUUCGCUUCGCCCCUGGCCCACCCUGAGCGGGGGGGUCUGAUUGUGGUCGGUCGAGGGGCGCUGACCGUGUGGCCCAAUGGAUAAGGCGCUUGCCUACGGAGCAAGAGAUUCUGGGUUCGAUCCCCAGCAUGGUCGUGGGUCGCCGGAAUUGUAGAUUGUGGCGCGUGUCAAUUUGGCCGAGUGGUUAAGGCGGCAGACUCGAAAUCUGCUGGGGUUUCCCCGCGCAGGUUCAAAUCCUGCAGUUGACGACUCCGCCGCUGCCCAUUGUUUCUCCUCCCCUUCCGCACUCUCGUUUUCGUGCCCCGCGCCCCCCUUCUCGAUUUUCCCUUCUCUUGAAUUACCCCAUUCUCCAGUUCUUUCGAUGCGAACCUCCUUCGGCUCAUUCCAUUUCCAUGCAGCAAAUGCCAUUUCAAUGAUUAAGCACUCCUUUCCAACACAUAACCUUCUCACAUUUCAUCCAAUAUGCACAACUCUUCUCUAACCAUCUUCAUUCCAAUUUACAAGCUGAGAGUGAUUUAUUUAAUUCCAAUUUACAAGCUGAGAGUGAUUUAUUUAAUUCCAAUUUACAAGCUGAGAGUGAUUUAUUUAAUUCCAAUUUACAAGCUGAGAGUGAUUUAUUUAAUUCCAAUUUACAAGCUGAGAGUGAUUUAUUUAAUUCCAAUUUACAAGCUGAGUGAUUUGUAUAGUUCCUAGUGUUAAAUACUCUUGACAAACUUUUAAUGACAAUUUCUAGUAUUGGCCCCCUCCUCUCUUAUGUUGGCACUACACUCUUUGUAAUAGAAAUUAUUAACAUAGUAGAUAAUCCGUAUCAUGCAAGAAAAUAAAAAAAAAAAGAAACAAGGUUGCAAGAGCUUGAAUAAGAAGUCACAAAGUUUGCUUUUGUGAUUCUUAAAAUGAUAUCUUGUAUAUCAAGGAUGGUUGGAUGUCAUGAAGAAAGUUGGAAGUUUUGUAUUGGUUAUUAAAUUAAAUUCUCAUGAUAAAAUACAUCUUAGUAGUGGAGAAAAUUUAUUGUUUUAGUUUAGUGACCAUAUUUUUCAAGUUGAGUGUUACCUUUGAUAGCAUGGAAAGAAUAGAAAUCCUUAUUUUUAACUACAAAUUUUUUUUGACUACAAUUAUAUUUUUAAUUUCUACUAUUAAGAAGAAAUUAUUUACGAAGUGUUGUAAUUUACAUUUAUUCAUCUUCACAAUGUUGGAAUUUGAGUUGAAGUAUUUGAUAUCUAUUUAGAAUCUUUUGAUGUCAAAUAGAUAUAUUAGUUACAAAGUAUGCCAUAUUGUUCGGAUUAAAGUUUGUUGUUGGAAAAAUUUGUAUCUUUUAGCAACUAGAAUAUUUAAUCACAUAUAAUAUAGUCGAAGAUAGUGUAAAUGCUCAAAUUGUUUCUUUUGAAUGAAUUCUUAGAUUGUCAUAGAUUAAAAGUACAAAAAAGUAGAAGAAAUUGUAAUUGAAAGCACUAAAUUAUGUAUUAUGAAAUAAUUAAGGAUGCAAUAGAAUAAUUUGCAAGACCAAUGCUAAAUAAGAAGCAAUUCAUAAAAGAUUAUAGAAAGAAGGAUUCUUUCACAAACUAGCAAAUAGAAUUGUCACAAAUACAUUGUUAUGAUUAAAAAUGAUAAUAUUUAUAUAAGUAUUGUGGUAAUUGAGCUUAUUUAGAUUUAUUAUGUAAAAAUUGCUAGCUUAUGAAGCCUCAGCUUGAUAUUGUAGUCUUUUGAGAAAAACUAAUAAUAUAUAUCAAAUCAUAAGACUGUCCAAAUAACUUGGUGAUUCAAAAAAGGGUUUUUUUUCCUAAUCACUUUUAAAGUGUCUUUGCAUUGAGUGAGAAGGCGACUUAAAUUUUAAGCCUUGAUUUUGCAAUAAUAAGAAAGAAUAUACUUCCAAAGUGUAUUGCUAUUGAUUCUAUACUAUGUUUAUACAUUAUCAUCUUAUUUUUAAUAAUUUUUUAAGCAUUCUUAAUAUUAUAUAUAAUUAAUUGGAUUUUUCAACCUAUAACAACGUGUAAUUUUUUAGAAUCCAUUUGCAAUACAUCUAUUAGAAUAAUAUGUUCUAAAAAUUUGACUUAAAUUGUGUUAAUGGAAAAUCUUUUAAUGAAGAUGUGUAAUCUUACAUCUCUGAUUUUUUACAAUAUGGUAGUCAUAUCAUUUUGAUUCUUUAAUGCUAUUAUAAUAAAUUAAAAUAUCAUGCAGCUUAUUUAUAAAAAAGUAAUCUUUUAUAUUUAAAAAAUAUAAAUUAUCAAAUGCCAAAAUAUUAUUGUAUUAUAAUUAAAAAUAAAAAUAAUAUUAUAUUUUUAAUGGCCAUAUGUAAUUGUUAAGGACUUGAACUACAAACAACAAAUUUUUCAACACACUUUUGUAUCAUUCAAGUAUAGUAGAUAUUUACUCAAAGUUAGUAUUGUAUUAAAACUAGAAUGAUUGUUUUCAUAGAUAAGAAUAUUAAAGACUUUUGAAAGAAGAUUAAAGAUAAGAAAAGCAUUGACAAGAGUAAAGAAGAUUUUAUUCUUUCUUCCAUAUAUACUAUAUACCUAAGAGCUAUUUGGUUAUUUUCAUAGAUAUUGUUAAUGAAAAGCAUUAACUUUCUUUGCUAUAUUUGCAAGUUUUUUGGGUAGCUUUCAUAUCCAUUUACUAAUACCAUAUCCUUGCUAUGAAAAAAAUACUUCAACUUAUUUUGGUGUUAUCUUAAAUCUAAGACUUCUUCAAAAUCAAAUUCUUAAUUAUUAUCUUUUUUAAUAAGAAGAAGUAUUAUUUGUCUUUUUCUAAAUACAUCCACUUUCUUAUAUGACUAAAAAAAAAACAUAUCAAAUUCAUGAUGGAUCUUUAUGGACUUAAAUAGGUGUAUUCAAUAUGCAACUACAUUGAUCUAUUCACAAAUAAAAAAUAGUUGAAGUCUUUGAUAAUCUAACUUCUCAAAACAUUUAUUAGUCUUGAUGUUACAAAAAAAUAACCAUGCCAUAUUGUCGAUGUAGAGUUGGAGUUGUUUCUUGCAAUAAGUAUAUGUAUUCAUCUUUUGUUAUUCUUAAGCUUCUUUUAAUUAAGUCUUCAUUAUUGCAUGUAGCUUUGAUGAAUGAUUUCUCAAAUCUUUUGCAAUUAAGUCCCUCUAUCAGAUAUAAUAACUUUUAAUAAUCUAUAAUAGCAAUAAAUAUGACUAAAAAAAUAUAUAAUUAUUUUUUUACUAAAAAUAGUUUUUAUACAUAGUAUAAAAUAUACUAUCUUAGUAAAAAAUCUACUAUUAUAAAUAUAAAAUAAUAUAAACUUAAAAUUAAAAUAUUUGUAAAUUUUUUUAUAAAAAAAAAAAAAGACCAUGAUUUUUGUGGUAUUGGUAACAGCUAAAAAAGUCUAUAAGGUCAAUGAUAAGAAGUUUUAAAUCUUAAACAAACAUCACACGUUUGUACAAAUUUUUUUAUCUCCUUCUACAUUUGAAGCCAUUAAAAAAAAUUGAUAUUAAUUUCAAGAUCUUGUUGUAUUUAAAAUAUUUCUAAUUAUAAAAUCUUGACAAGUUGAAACAAUACAAAUUCAUAUUUCAUUUUGUGGAAGAUAUAAGCAUAUUUAAAAAAAUAUAUUUUGAGCUUAAACUAAAAAAUAUUAUGAGAUUUAGAAGGAUUAUUUUUAAUAUCAUGAAUAAGAAGAUUUAAGGACAUACUUGAUUGAACUUGCUUAAAAAAACUAAAUCAACAAUUAAUAUUUAUUUUAUUACUUAAAAAAGAUAUAAUUCUUAUUUUAGAAGAAUUAUUUAUUAUUGAUCAAAACUUGAAAUUUUUUCUUUUUGUGUAAGAUAAAAGAAUCUAAAAAGGCUGUCUAAUAAAUCUUAUUAUUUUUCUAAUCAAUAAGUAAUCUUAAAUUCGAAUUUUGGAAAAAUUACAUGCUCCAAUGAACUUAAUGAUAAUUUAAAAUAUAUGCUUAUAUGAGAUACUUGAGAUUCUUAUUAUUUUUAUAUAUGAUGAUUGAACUUGAAUUAUUUAUACAUGUAAAAAAUAUGAUAUUAUAUUCAAAAUGACCAUGCUUUAUUGAAAAUGUACUCUUUUAUUCAUGUUUUUUUUAAUGAAUUUCUAAUUAUAUAUUUAUCAUAGAUUUAUUUUUGUAAAGAUCUUUUUUUAAUUCAAUUGAUUAAAAAGUCUUAAUAUCAAAGAUAAAGAAUAUUUAUUUUUUAUGAUAAUCUUAUUAAAUUAUCAAUAAUACAUUUACAUCCAUAAUUUUUUUUUUUUUUUUUUUUUUGUUACAUAUAAAAUAAGAAUUCUUAUUGGAACUAUUAAAUGCCAUACAAAAUUCUUAAAUAAUUUUUUGGUCAAUGUAUUCUUCAAAUGCAACUAAUUUAUUUUGUGAUAAACUAUAGAUUGAACAAAAUAGAAAUUGAGCUUCUUCUUAAAGAUCAAUUAAGCAAUCAUAUUAAAAAUGAUUUGAAAGAAUAAAUGUAUUUUUUAAAAAAAUAUCUUGAUUGUUUAAAAAUUAACUUAAAAUACCAUUUAAAGUUUUUUUACUAUAAAAAAUAAAUAUGGUUUAAAUAGCAAAACUUGACACUUCUUUUGCAACAUGCAUAAAUGCUUAUACACCUAUCAAUAAAAAUUUGACUAUAUUAAAUUUAUAAUUUUUUAAUUAAAUAAAAAAUAAUAUAUUGUAUUACAAAAAAACUCAUGAUUAUAAGAAAUUAAAUCUAUUUAAUAGUAUUAUUUUUCUAGCCAAAAUAAACCUAAAAUUAAUAGAUUUGAAGAACAUAUAAUCAUAUUACAUACUAUUAAAUUAUUUUAUUCAUUAGUUUCUACAUCUAAAACAAUAAUUCCAUAAACAAUUGUCAAAGACAAGAACUCAAUGAAUGCAAAUAAAUAAGUAAGUUUUCUUUCAAAAAAAGAUAAAAAAUAAAAAAAAAUAAAAAAAAAUAUUUAUUUCCAAAAGAAAUUUGAGUAGCUAUUGUUAAAAGACAAAAAAAAAAAUUAGAGAUCCUUGAAAUUAGACUAAAAGCAAGAAAGAUAUUGAUAAUAAUUCAAAAGGCUUCACUUUUUCUUCUAUAUAUACUAUCUAACUAGGAGUUACAUGGCAAUACUAUAUGAAAUCUCUAGCAUGUAUUCAAUUUUUAUGAUACAUGUCUAAUUUGUAAAAGAAGUUUUUUAUACAUGCAUUGCAUGAUAAGCUUGUAUUACUAGCUAUCAAUAGGUGCAACAUGUGGCUAAUUUUUUGGCCAAGUUUUCAACCUAUCAAUUAACUACAAACAUAUAUAAAAUUAAAGCCAUAUCUAUGAGGCUUCUAAAAAGGCUUCUCUAUGAUUUCUACAUGCAGGAACAUAUAUUUUUUUUAAAAUAAAUAUAAUUCUUAUUUUUUAAGAAAGUCUGUUUCUAAAAGAAAGUAAGGUUCUUGAAUCUAAUAAAGCAAAGACUUUAUAAUUUUUUGGUCCUAAAAAAAUAUCUAUUAUAUUAUAAGGUGAUGGAUUUGAAUAGAGAAUAGGAUCUUUAGUUGGUGUUGUAUAAGAUUUCAAUUGCACGGUUCCUACUAUAGUUGAAAAAACUUAUUUUUGGAUAUUUUUUCUUCUUUAGUAAAUAUGUUCUUUAUUUUAUAAUUUUUUUGCUUCUUUGAAUAAUGUUGAGUAAUGUGCUUAGGUUCUCUAUAAUAUAAGUACAAACAUUCUUGAAGAUAUUAACUCUUUUCUUGCUUAAAAAGAUAUUUAAAAUAUACUAUAUCAAUUUGCUUAGAUUUCCACCUUGAUAAAUAGGUUUCUUAAAUUUUAAGAAUUUUAAUUAUGACUUGAUUAUUUCUUUUAAAACCAAAUCUUUGUUCUUGGUAUUAUAAAACAAAUUCAAAUGUUCCAUGUAGUAGCUUAAGCAAUAAAAUAUUUCAAUGUGUUUAUUUUCAAUAAAUUCAACAAAUAAAUUCAACAAAUAAAUUCAACCAACUUCUAGGCUUAGGCUACAAUAAAACCUUUUUAAUAGUCAUUUACAUACAAUCAAUUUGACUCAUGUUUGCUUUAACAGUUCAACUUAAUUUUUAUGUACAUCAAAUGAACAUUAAAACAACAUUCUUAAAUAGAUCUUUUUAAGAAGAAAUAUAUAUAUAUAUAUAUAUAUAUAUAUAUAUAGAAUAAGUAGUUAUUUUACAGAAUGAAGAUACCUAGUGUAUAGUAUAAACAGGGAUAGAUAACUACUGAAAAAGUGGUUCAACAGGUAGAAUGGAUGAAUAGUUAGAAAAAGUAAUUAUCAUCUAUAGUAUAGGAGUUGAUAUCUCCGGAUAAUAUAAGGAAGAUGGGAGAGAGGAAGAAAAUGCCAGAGUGCGAAAGUACUAAGCCGGGAAAAGCUUGAUGCUAUUUCUUCUUCUUAGUUUUCUUAUUUCUUAUGUGUUAGUGUUGAUUCUAGUGAAGAGAAUCGAUUUAAUGAAUCAAUGUUUGAUUUAUGAAGUUGUUUAUGGAUCACUGUUUAUCAAUUGUUGUGAAAGAUUGAGGAUGUAUGGAAGUUUCCAGUCACUGUUUAUCGCAAGGCUGUAAGUUCAAUGGAGAGGAAUUGUAAUCGAAGGAAUUACCUUGAUCAGAUUCUAUGGAUUGGAAGUUCCAUGGUUUGGGUUAUGCUUGUGUGUUUGUAAAUUACACAGGGUACUGAAAUUGAUGUCGUGAUUGUUACCGUAUUGAUAUGAGAGAGUGGACAAUAGGAGAAAAAGUCAAUUGUUCUUUUGUAUUGUAAGCAUUCAGCAAUAGAGGUUAAUUGUAGGACCUUAACAAUUGGAGCUCAUAUACAUGGUCUUUCUUUGAGUUCGAAUUCUACUAUAUGGAUUUAUUUUGGGAGGUUUCUUCUGGAAUAACUAAAAUGACAACCACAAUAUAUAUAUAUAUAUAUAUAUAUAUAUAUAUAUAUAUAAAGGUCUUAGAUAAAGUCAUUUUUUACAACUUGGUAUGAUGUAACACCUUCACAAAACCAUUUAUGAAUUAAAACAAACACCCAAGGAAUAGUUCAAGAUAAUCAAUACAUUUCUCGAUACUCUUGAAUUUAUAAAUUUAACAACUGAUGGUAGCAUAUAUUAUCUUCAUUAUAGAUCAAAGUUUAUCAUUCUCAUCGUAUAUAUAGAUGAUAUCAUUAUUGCUAAUAAUAGCUUUUUAUUGCUUCAUAAAAUAAAAAUAUAAUUUUACUUCCACUUCUUAUACUUUGAUCUGGGAGAAGUUUAUCAAAUAAAUACCUAAAAGUCUUUACUUUUAUCUUCCAAAUAAUCUCUAAUAUACUACAAUCUAUAUAAAAUGUAUACACAUAACAUCCUACUACUACAACUACUAUUAUAGCUAUUUAUAAUUCUUGUCUUUUUUAAUAAAAUUUAUUUUAUGAAAUUUGACAUGUCUAUAAUGUUUAAAAAAAAAACCUAAAUAGUCUAGAAUCCAUAAGAUGCCUUUUAAUCUUCUUCCAACUUUCUAUAAUAGCUUCUAAAAUUGGUAAAACUAUUUUUACUAAAAUCUUUAAAAUAGAUUUUUAAAAUAUUUAGAAAACAUCGAAUUAAUGUGAAAUAAUUGCUUUGGAAUCUUUUUAUGAUAUUAUAAUGUUAAUAUUAAAUUAAAGAUACUUUAUCAUAUCUAAAAAUAUUUUAGAAUAAUAAAACUAAUAUAAAUCAACUAAUAAUUAUAGAAUCUACAUAAUCACUUAAAAAUAAGAUUCUUCAAUAAAAUUUAUAUUCCUAAUGUGUAUCAUUUAUAAGUUUAUAAAAAACUAUAAGAAACAAAAGAUAUUUUUAAACAUUAGUCUCAUAUUUAAAUACAUAUUACUAAAAAUAAGAAAAAAUAAAAAUACUACAAAUAAGAAAAAACAAAAGUACUAAAAUAACUAAGAUAAUUGCCUUCAAGACAUACUAAGAUUCUAUUUUAUUAGUUUUUAACUUAAUAAGAAUAUUUUGUCUCCUAAAAUCUUCUAAAUCCUAAAUGAUACUUAAGUAGUUAAAAAAACCUAACAAAUUAAUAUAUUCAUGAUCAUCCAAAAUGAAUAAAUAAUUUGUGAUUCAUUCAUAUAUUAGGUUUGUUUACAAAGGUCACAUUCAAAAACUUUCAAUAGUGAAAAUCUAUUUGUAUUUCUUCUAAGUGUAAUAUGUUAGGUUUUUUAUCUUAAUUCCAUCUACUUAAUUAACCAUCAGAAUUAAACUUAAUGAACAACACAAAACUUCCAACUUUCUUCAUGACAUCCAACCAUCCUUGAUAUACAAGAUAUCAUUUUAAGAAUCACAAAAGCAAACUUUGUGACUUCUUAUUCAAGCUCUUGCAACCUUGUUUCUUUUUUUUUUUUAUUAUUUUCUUGCAUGAUACGGAUUAUCUACUAUGUUAAUAAUUUCUAUUACAAAGAGUGUAGUGCCAACAUAAGAGAGGAGGGGCCAAUACUAGAAAUUGUCAUUAAAAGUUUGUCAAGAGUAUUUAACACUAGGAACUAUACAAAUCACUCAGCUUGUAAAUUGGAAUUAAAUAAAUCACUCUCAGCUUGUAAAUUGGAAUUAAAUAAAUCACUCUCAGCUUGUAAAUUGGAAUUAAAUAAAUCACUCUCAGCUUGUAAAUUGGAAUUAAAUAAAUCACUCUCAGCUUGUAAAUUGGAAUUAAAUAAAUCACUCUCAGCUUGUAAAUUGGAAUGAAGAUGGUUAGAGAAGAGUUGUGCAUAUUGGAUGAAAUGUGAGAAGGUUAUGUGUUGGAAAGGAGUGCUUAAUCAUUGAAAUGGCAUUUGCUGCAUGGAAAUGGAAUGAGCCGAAGGAGGUUCGCAUCGAAAGAACUGGAGAAUGGGGUAAUUCAAGAGAAGGGAAAAUCGAGAAGGGGGGCGCGGGGCACGAAAACGAGAGUGCGGAAGGGGAGGAGAAACAAUGGGCAGCGGAGUCGUCAACUGCAGGAUUUGAACCUGCGCGGGGAAACCCCAGCAGAUUUCGAGUCUGCCGCCUUAACCACUCGGCCAAAUUGACACGCGCCACAAUCUACAAUUCCGGCGACCCACGACCAUGCUGGGGAUCGAACCCAGAAUCUCUUGCUCCGUAGGCAAGCGCCUUAUCCAUUGGGCCACACGGUCAGCGCCCCUCGACCGACCACAAUCAGACCCCCCCGCUCAGGGUGGGCCGGGGGCGAAGCGAACUAGGGAGGCCGCAGGGUAGUCACCAUUUCCUUCGGGAGUUUGAACCCGACGUGAAUCGAACACGCAACCUUCUGAUCUGGAGUCAGACGCGCUACCAUUGCGCCACGGAUCCCACGGCGAUGCACGUCUCUCAUCCGGUUCUCAAUAUCAACCCAAUCCCGCCCCAGGCACCACUCACCGCCGCCCCCUCUGACCCCGCUGAGUGGCCCAUGCGCCGUCGCAAAUCCCUUGCCCCCUUCCCCCAGCGCUCCCUUUCCACCGGAUUCUGUCCCGGCUUUCGGUCCUGGGACUGCUUUUGUCCCUCGUUCCCUCCGCGCCACCCCUGGCUGCCUUGACGGAAUCCAUGUAUUUGGCUCCAUCCUGGCUGUAAUCCCACUCCCAGAUGCGCCCACUGUCCAGGUCUCACCAUCACCUUCUUUUCCUCGGAGCCGUUUCUGCAUUUGCCGCCGCUGCGCUCCACCAUGGUUGGGAUGGACCACGCUCCUUCCACGAGCCCCCAAACGUUCACUCCAAUCACCCCACGCAUUCUCAACUCCGCUCUCCGGUCAUGUCAACAACUGUGCACACAUUCAAACAGCUCUAUCCAAAAGGUGACCUUCCUCUCUGUUGACAACACCCCGUUCCACAUGAGGUGACCCGCUCAACCACACCGCUCCGUUGCCCCCAACACCUCCCGCAGUCGCUCACUCCUUCCUCCGACAUCACAAGUGAUGCACACAGCGCACAUCAUCAUCCGCGGGCAAUUCGAGGAUAUGCAACUAGCGUGUCCGUCUAACCAAGUUUAUUGACUGUUUAUGGAGCAUUUGGUUACAUCAAUCGUAUUAAGUGGACAUGUUCAAUCACAUGCUGGUCGUUACAUCGAACCUGAUUUGUUUUCUGCCGCUAGGUUUUCCAUCUGAUUUCGAAGCCCUUGUGGUACUUCUCGGAUGCGUUUGAUCAUGGCAUUUGGUAUGCCUUUCCUUUGCUUGUGUUGGAUUCACAACCAUUUAUUAAGGUAGUUGGUUUGAAAACUGCGUGUUGUGGGACCUAUCUCUUGUUUUGAGAGGGCAGCAGGUAUUUACAGUGAUAGUCCUUUUUGUUAUGAAGUCUAAGAAGUUCAGAUCAUUCAGAGGGAGGGGGGCAAUCAGUUGGGUGGAGUUGUUUGCUUGGCAAGGCUGACUCGAAGCCAGGAUUGGUGUGCCUAGUGCAUCGUCACUUAUCUCUGUAGGCAUGCUCCGGUCGAUGAGUAACCUCGUAAUCGAGGUGAACAAAAGCUCGUUCAAUCUCCGGUAGCGACUCAAGUUUGUCUUGAAGUGAUUCGCCAAUAUCAUGUGCCUGGCGCAGAGGCAUGUCCGCUGCCAGCACAAUAUCGACUUCUGCAAAGUAAUGUGACCCAAAGGUGUAUGCACGGACGGGGUCAAUUUGAGGCAUCUCCUACUGAUGAUUCCAGAAUAGAUAUGUCACCUCACGUAAUAUGUCUGUGGAGGAGAGGCUGAUCGACUACCCAAUGCGGUCCCAUUUUCUAGAACUGGUAGCGACCACGUCCGUGUACUUUUGUAACGUACAUUGAUUCUAUAAAGCAGAAAUACUUGUUUUUGCUUGAUGUCUCUAUAUAUUCACUUUAUUCCACAAUGUUACUUUAGCCAUAGUAACAUUGCUUGUUUGUGUGCUUGUUGUUUAAACCACAGAACUUUCUAUUUUGGUAAGGAAUUAGAAUCUAAGAUAUUGUUGUACUUUUAAUAUUUCAAUUCCAUACAUAAAAAGAUUUUGGAAUAAUUUUGGAAAGAAAUUGAGUUGAGUAUCCCAUUAAUUUUUGUUUAAGAAUCAAUGUUUAAGAAUCAAUGUUAUUAGUCAAUUCUACCUAAAGUCCAUAGAAAUGUUGAAGGUCUUUGUCAAUUAUGUUUUUGGCUUCAACUUUGAUAACUAUUUUUAUAAUCUUAGCAAUGCAAAUUGAUUUUUGUGUCUUAUAGAUCUUUUCUAUUUUUUUAAAGUUGUGUUUACCAUUUUUUAAAUGUAGAAUUAAUAAAUGAAAUUUUUUGACUUAUAAAAUGUAUAUAUUAAGUUGUGUUGACAAUGUGGCUACUAACUCUUUUUUGCCAUGCAUGCACCUCUAUAAUAUGGUACUAUGUCAAUUAAAACAAGUGAGCUUUUUUAUAUAUUUUUUUCUUCUUAUUUUAGACUUUAGUCCACUUUUAUAAUUAAUUGAAAGAUAAAAUUCUUUCCAAUUUUAUUAUAACAACAUUUCAAAUGAUGUCUUGUUUUUGCAAUAUCAAGUAAUUUAGUUAUCUAUAUAAUAUAUAAAUAGGAUCUAAUUAGACUAUAGAUAUUUAUUUGAGUUUCUAAUGAGAUAAUAUGUCUUUGUGUAAUUUAAAAGGGAGACUUGCAUCUUUGGACCUUAUCUAAUAAGUUUAAUUCUUAUUGAUUUGAGUAGAUCAAAGACAUUGGUCACAAAAGUACUUCCUUUUGCUUCCUACGUCUUAUAUUGUGACUCUUAUUUGUUUGUGAUUUUAGCCAAGCUAUUAGUACUAUACAUAAUAUAGGCUUUGAUCUAAAUUAAAAUCUAUAGUUUAUUGAUACUAAUAUUGGUUUAGAACUUUAUAAUAUUUUGAUGUUUUAUUUUUAAAUUCUAUAUAAUCUUUUGUCAUGGAUAUACAUAUUUAUUCUAAUAUUUACCAAUAUAAUUAAGUAGAAAUAGAUAAAAAUAGAUUUAUUUCAUAAUAUUUUUUAAAAAAGCUUCAUAGAUACUAUUUUUACUUUAAAUAUAUUUUUAGUUGAUUGAUAGGUUAGAAACUUAGUUAAUAAGUUAAUUACAUGUUAGUAGCUUACAAAACAAGCUAAUAAUAUGGCACACAUAUAAAACAAAAUUGUCUUGCAAGUUAAGAUAUGUAUCUUGCAAAGUCAAUAUGUUUUAGAGGUCCUAUAUGAUAUCAACACAUAGCUCCUAGUUAAGAAUAUAUAUGGAAGUAAGAGUGAAGUCUUUUUCACUCCUAUCAACGCCUUUCUAGUCCUUAGUCUUGUUUUAAGACUUUCUAAUCUUCUUGUCUUGGGCAAUAACCAUUCUAGUUUAAUACUAUAUCAUCUUCAAGUGAUUUUCUAAUCUUUUUAAAUGACACAAGAGUGUAUUGAGGUUUUCUUUCUUUGAGAUUCAUGUCCUUUACAUCUCCUCUAUAGAUCACUCACAUCCAUUCUUUAAUUUUUAUUCAUGAAUUUGAAAUUGAUAGGAGAUGGUGUUAUUAUUGAAUAAAUUUGAUGGUAAACACUUUUUAAGCACCAAACUUUGCCAUAAUGAGUCCAAAUUUCUAUUGUACCUCCAAAAUAUAAAAGAAUUAAAAAAAUGUAAAAAAAUCUAUAUAUUUUUAUACAUAUAUAGUUUAUUUCUAUAUAAAUUAUCUAUAUUAGAUUUUAAAAAUCAAAGAUAGAUGGUUGGAAUUAAAAAAUAAUACUAUAUAUUUAAUUAAGAAAUUUAUUGCAACAAGUAAGAAAAAUUUAAGUAGAAUUAGGAAAAAGGGUCUUUCUUGCUACCAAAAUCUUAUACCACAUAAUAAACUUUUAUUAGCUUUGAUGUUCUAUAAUAAUAUAGAAUUUUAAUCUUUAUUUCUAUUAUUUAUUUUUACAAGUGAUUUAAACAUUAAUGCUACUAUAGCUUUACUUAAGCUAAUAAGAUUGGUCUUGUCUUUAUUGAUGGAUUAACAAUAUUAUAACCAUCCAAUAUUGGUUAAAGUACGUUGCAUUGUCAUGUGGUAGCAUGGCUAUAUAGUAAAAAAUAAAAAUAUAGAUAUUAUUAUAAAAGAGCCUAAUAAAAAGAUGUAGUAGAAAAAUAAGGAUAAAUAAUAGAAAGAGAGUAAUAGAUUUAGUCUUAAUAUUACUUUUUGUAAAAGGAAUACUUCUAUUUACUUUGUAGAUGCAUAAAUAAGCCAAAUCAAAGUAAAUAAGAUAAGAAAUUGAUAUAGACAUGUUUAAGAAAGAGUUAAUAUAAGAUUAAAGUAAAACUUAAAUCACAUUACCAAAAAUUAAUGCCUACAAAGGACCAAAUAUUAAUUUGGAUCAAAAUCAAAUCUUGAUGUACAAAACUAUCUCUAUAUAAUGAAUUUAGGAUUUGUUUGUAGAUUAGAGAAUAAAAUACAAGAAAAAACUAGAGGAGAGAUUUUUUAGCAUUGGUUUCAUGUUAUUUGGAUCAAUAUUAAGAUUUUGAGGAAUUUUUAAAAUUCAUAAUAUUCUUAGUAGGUUUAGGUUUUAAAAAAAAUAAUUGUUUAUAAAUUUGAAGGUUUCUUGAGUUUUGUGGUGUAUAUAUGAGUGAAAUUUGGGAAAUAUAUUGGUGUGCUUGUUUUGAAUGAGUAUGCAAAUUUUGAGAUUGAUUGAAUAGUUAGAUUGAAGUAUAUGAGGGUUUUUAUAGGUUGAGGUCUCAAAAAUUGGAGUUUGAAGGUCAAUGAGUGUUUCUAAGAUCAUCAGCAAUUUUUUAAUUGGAUUGAAGUGAAUUUUUUUUGUAUAGACAGUAGACUCAAUUUCUAAGGUUUAGGUGGGAUUUAAGAAUAGUUUAAUAAUUCAAAAAGAAGAUAUUAGAGCUAGAAUUUUAGCAUUAAGGUUAAAAUAGGAGGCUACUCAACAUCCAAUUGGAUUAUCUUGCAUCUCUCUCAAUUGAUAAGUGCAAUCGAUUUCAUCUUUCUUAUGCUUUUUUUUAACUUAGACAUUAAGAAGUGUACAAAUUUUGAAUUGAUAUUAAUAUUUUGAUCAUUAAUUUUUGAGAUUUCAAUCAUCUAAAGGAUUUGUUAAGAAUUCGUUUAAGAUUUAGAAUUUAAUUAGGAUUUGCUUAGGAUUUGGUUAAGGAUUUGUUUAUGAUUUAGGAUUUAUUAAGAUUUUAUUAGGAUUUGAUCUAGGAUUUGGUUAAGGUUUAAUUAGGAUUUCAAUUAAGAUUUGAUUUAAGAUUAAUUUAGAUUUAUUAGAAUUUUAAUUAAGAUUAAAUUAGUAUUUUAUUAGGAUUCAUUUAUGAUUUAUGAUUUUUAUUAUUUCUUUAAGAUUCUAUAUUUUUUCUUCAAAAGUUUUAUUUCUAAUAUUUUUUUAAUAUAUAUAUAUAUAUAUAUAUAUAUAUAUAUAUAUAUAUAUACUUUAUUUUAAAGAUUAAUUUAGGACUUAUAUGUAUUUUUUUUUACAACUUCUUUUAAAUUUAUCUUAGAUUGGUUAAAAUUUGAUUAGAAUUAUUAAGAUUUACUUAAAGUUUAUUUGAAAUUCUAUUAAACUUGGUAGGAUUUUUGUUGCAUUUCUAUUUAUCUUCCAUAGUUAGGUGCUUGGUACAUUCUCAAGCAAGAAUACACAUAAUACAACAACGUAGUCUUAUCUGCAAUGUAAUUUUUAAAUGAUGCUUUAAUCUUUGUUUUUGUUUUUUUGUACCUUUUUAAAUUAACAUGAAAAAAUUUAUUAUUGAAAUAGGCAAUUUUUUUACAAUUUUAUCUUUAUUUGUAAUUUGAAUUGUCACAAAAUAUUAAUGAUUUAUUUAUUUUUUAUUUUAUUUUUAUUUUUUUAAUAGCUAUUAGAUUUAUUUUAAUUCAAGAUGAAUUUCAAUUCUAAGAAAAAUAUCUCAAGCGUGUAUAUGGUAUUUUAGAUCAUCUUUAUUUUCUUAAUAGGAUUAGAGAGGUAUCAUCCGCAUAUUAUACCAUGAUAUGUUGUCAAUUAGUCAUUGUUAAUUAAAUAGCACUGAUUUAACAAAGCUUUGCUUCUUUAUCAAUCAUGGCAUUGAAUACGUCAAGAAUGAUAAAGAAGAAAUAAGGUAUAAGUGGGCAUCAUUGUUAUAUCCAUCUUUUAAUUUUAAACAAAUUGGAGAGUGAACCAUUAAUUUUUACUCAAACACUUGUAUUAAUAAAUAAUAAACAGAUCAUGUAGAUAGAUUCUAUAGAAAAGCCUAUGAUAGACAUUAUUUGAAGCAAAAGAUCUCAAUCUAUCAUUUUAUAUGCCUUCAAGAAGUCAAGCUUAAGAAAGAAUAGAAGUUAUCUUAACUUUUCUAUUUACACCAUAGUUUCAUGUAUUAGUAAGAAGUUGUUUAGUAUGAACUACAUGGAUAAAAAAACUAACUAGUAUCUACUAUUUUUUUUUCAUAAGUAUGGGCUGUAAGCAUAAUUAUAAAGCUUUUGCAUAUAUUUUGUAUCGAAUAUUGAAGAAAAUAAUUGACUUCUAGUUUGUAAAAUUGCAUUGGAUUUGUCUCUUGUGUGACAAUGAUAUCAUCUCUUGCAUGACAUUAAGUAAUAGAUGGUCAUAAUUUAUGUUCUCUUCUAACAUAACAAAAUAAUAUAAUCGAAUUAUAUUUUAUUAAUUUUUAUAAAUCUUAAAAAUGAUGCCAUAUGAUUCUAGUAAUUUGUCCACAUACAUGUCCUUCAAGGCUACCAUAAAUAUUGCCAAUGUAAAGAAGGUAUGGAAUAUUUCUUUUUUAGCAAUAUCUAACUAAUAAAAAAUGUAGCUAAUUGCUUAGUUUCUUGCACCUUUUGUUGUAAUAGUAGUUGAUUAGAUUGAAUACAAUUGGCUAUAAAAACUUUGAUAGAUAUAAGUAAGAGUGGCUUUGCUAUUAUAGAUCUAGUCAUGCUUGUCAACUAACUUGGUAAUAUUCAAUACUAUAGACUUUUUCUUAUGUACUUGAAAAAUAUUUUUUUGUGCAAAAAUCAUUCAAUUUUUGUUAUUUUAGGCAAGACCAAGUAUUUUAUUUUUUAUUUUUUAUUUUUUUAUUUUAGACAAGAUCAAAUAUUUUAUUCUUUUAUUUUCUAUUUUUUUAUGUUAUUACAAUUGGUUGGUACAAUUGGCCAUCACAAUUUAGCACAUUGCAUUUUUUAGGUCUUAUUGUAAGAUAGUCAUUGUUGUAGCAAGUUGUAGCCAUAAAGAGGCAUCUUCAUGUUGUCAUUUGACCACCUUGUCUAUUUAGUAUAUUUUAUAAAACUUCAAGUAUCAUCAAAGUUUACUAUAAAUAGAUAAAGAUAGAUUUAAAGUCUAUAAGCUUCAAAUCUUAAUUUAAACUAUUUUAUUUGAGAGAUAAUAAAUAUUCAUUAUAUAUGGAAAUAUUUACUUGGCCUUAGGUUGAAACCAUAUAUGUUACCAAACAAAGAAAUAAUUUGAGUGUAGACUAUCGCCUAAUAAUAAGUAAUCAAUACUUGUAGUUACCAAUCUUGGUGAUAUAAAUGGAUAUACACAAUUGAAUCUAGCCAUUGUGUAUGUAUUAUUACUCUAUUAGCUAUUUCAACUAUACUUAGGUCCAUUUAAUAGGAACUUAUUUUUCAAUCUAGAAUAAUAUUGUAAGAAAAGUAAAUAAUCCAUGUUUAUUUUUUAAUAUGAUAGAAUCAUUAAUAUUUGAUUCUUCAGUUAGACUUUUUAUAUAAUAUAAGUCUCUUAUGAAAAUCUAUUAAAAAUCUACUAAAAAUGUGAUUAAUAUUUUUUUCUAUAGUACACAUCAUUUCAUUGUUUAGUAUAGAAUAUAUAUAUUAAGAAUAGCUAUGUUUGCUCUUUGCACCUCAUGUACUUGCUUCUACUAUGUUUGAUCAGUAUUAGAGUGGUUUGAUUGUUCUAUGAGAUGCAAAAUAUAAAAAAAAAAAUCAUAAAUAAAUACUUCUAUUGCUCGCUCCUAUCUUAUGUAUCUUAUUAUUAUAGGCAACAUCUUCUUCUUAAUUAAAGAAACCAGCUUUGAGUUUCAUUUAUUUUUUAAUACUAACAACUUUAUAUCAUAGAGAUUAUGUUUUUGUAUACAAAUAAAAUCUAACUUAGAUAUAUAGGCAUGAAGGUAAUUACAAAAUAUAUCUAUUUUAAUAAAAUCAUUAAGAUUUUUGCUCAUUUUGUAUUGUCACAAAGAUUUUCAUUCAAUAAAAGAAAGAAAAAGAAGAGAUUAAACUUCAUAUUUUAUGUUCAUGAUUCAAUGCACAAAGUCUGCUGAUUUUUCUCUUUGUUGGAAGUAAUAGAAAGAUCUUUAAUGUUGUGAUAAUUUUAUAUAUUGGUUUUUUUUAGCCAUUGUCUUAUUUGAAAAAAGAGUCAGUAUAAGUGAUUUUAACAAGUCAAUUGAUAUUCUUUGCUUCUGUAGCCAUUCAAUAAAAUAUAUAUAUAUAUAUAUAUAUAUAUAUAUAUAUAUGCAAUAAGUUCUCAAUUUGUUCUUUAUGACAGUCAUACUACAUUCUCAAGUGACUAAAAUAUACUCUUUGAUCUAAUAUCAGUUGCAACAAAUUACACUAGAUGUAGAAUUUCUAACAUAUCAAGGUAGCUUUUAUUAUAUACACUCACAAAAAAAGACUAAAAUAUGUGACUUAAUAUAGAUAGAUUAAGUUGGAAGCCAUGGCUAGAGAUGUAUAUAUUAAGGUUUAAAAGGACUAAUUUGUAUCUUUGCUCCCACAAGAUUCUUUAAUCUAAGCUUGAUCUAUGUCAAAUCGAUGUGUAUCAAAAAAGCACAAUGAUCAUUAACAUAUCAUCUUGAGUUCUUGAAUAGUGUCAAAUAAAUAUGGCAAAGGAAGGAGGCUUCAUUUCUUAAUACAUUUGAUAUCAAUGAACUAUUUAUUAAUUAUUCAAUGACAAGUGAGAUCUUUGAAAAUUGUUAAGACUAACUUUUUUACUUCUAAAUAAUAAAAAAAUAAUCAUGAUUAGCUGGUUUAAUCUCCCUCUUCUUCUUAUUUGGAUUAUUAUAAUAUUUUUAAGGCAAUAGUAGAUAUAUUAGUAUGUACUUAGCUAUUCCACUUAUUAUAACUUUUAUUAGAUUUAUUAAGAUCUAAAAAAAUUUUAUAUUAAGUAAUAAUUCAUAUCCUUAUUCUCUUUAUCUUGUCUGCCAUAUUGCCUAGUUUGGAUUUGAUUAUUAUAAGAUUUACUAUGUUGUUCUAAUUAAUUUUUUUUAUUAGGUUGGCAAAGUCCUCAUUUUUUUGUCAAUUGGCCAGAACUAGCAUUAAAACCAAUCAACAAUGUCUAUAAUAGUGGCACUUCUAUUCCUUAAAGAGGUGGUAUAAAAUUUUUUUUGGACACGAGUGGAAUUAUUUGGUUAAUAUGUGUUUGUAGUGUUUGCCAAUAUUGAGAUGUCACUUAAUCUGUUGCCAAAUAGACUUGCAACUAUACUUCUUAUAUAUCUAUUUAUUAUUAUUUUAAUAAUAAUAAGUAUUUUCUAAUAAAAUAAGAUAUAAAGAGACGUGAACUACAUCAUAUUGAGAGAUUAUUGUAAUUAACUUAUAUGUGCAUCAUAUUGCCAUUCACUAAAUUGACUACAUUAAUUGCAAGGUUGUAUGAAAUAUUGGUUAUUAGCGUGAUGCAAAACUUUUGAUUUGUGCCAUAUUUGUUGCUCUAAUCUCUUUCUAAGAUAGCUUUAAGACUUAAAGUACUAUUUCUUAUAUUAUUCUUACAAUUGUGAGAGAAGGCUUUUAGUAUCAUCUAAAUUGGCAUCUUCAUUCUAAUAAGUUGACUAGAUUUAAAUCUUGACUUCUAUAGUUGAAGAAUGCAUGUUAUUUAUCAACUAAUAUGUAAAAUUUGUAUCAUUAUUCUUUAUAAUGCAACCUUGUUCUUACAAACUAUACUAAAAAAUCUAUGACUUAAAUUUUUUUUAAGAUAUUAUUCUUCUUUAAUCUAUGUUUUUAAAAAACUUAAAAAUUUAUGCAUUAUUUUUAUAAAUAAUCUACUAUCAAUAAAAUAGAUUAUUAUUAUAUAUUUUUAUAAAUAUUCUAUCUUCUAUUUAAAUUCUUUUUAUAUAAUCUAAUAUCUAAUACUUAUAUAUUUAAAGUAAAUAAAUAUAAAUACUUAUUAAAUCUUUUAAAAAAUAUUUAUUUGAGAUAAUAUAUAUAAAGAUGAUAUCUAUGAAGUUACCAAGGUUGGAUGUGAGUACCACUAGCUCUAGUUCUAUUGUAUUAUAGUAUUUUACUUGUAUCUUUUAUCUAAAGAAGUAGGAACUAUGGAAUGUAGGUGUCAAGGACACAAAAUUUAAAGAAAAAAAUCCUCAAUAUACUCUUGUGUCAUUCAAAAGAACUAAAAAGUCACUCAAAGAUGGUAAAAUAUUAAAUUAAAAUGGCUAUUGUCAAAAACAAGAAAACCAAAAAGUCUUGAAACAAGACUAAAGACUAGAAAGGCAUUGAUAAGAGUGAAGAAGGCUUUAUUUUUGCCUUUAUAUAUAUUCUUAACCUAGAAACUAUUUGGCAAUAUCUUAAAAAACGUCCAAAACAUGUUGACUUCCAUAAAAUAUAUAUCUUAAUUUGUAAGACAAGUUUUCUAUAUUUACACCACAUAGUUAGCUUGUUUUGUAAGCUAUCAACAUGUGAUUAACUUAUUAGCUAAGUUUAUAUCUUAUCAAUCAAUUAAAAAUAUAUAUAAAAUCAAAUCAAUAUCUAUGAAGCUUUUAAGAAGCUUUUCUAAAAAAUAUUAUGAAAUAAAUCCGUUUUUUACUUAUUUCUACUUAAUCAUAUAGAUAAAUAUUAUAAUAAAUAUGUAUAUCCAUAACAUUACCUCCCUUUCUAAUGACAAGUUGGACAUGUAGUCAUUGUAUAUUGAAGAAACCCAAGUUAUGGCAAAUCAUAUUUGUCACAUACUUUGAUCUUUGUUCUCUUUGUUCUCUUUGAAGAUGUUUGAUAGGUCCUUUCAGGCAUUGAUAGUGUACCAUAUCAAGAUAGAAAGGCCACCUUGUUAUUUGAUCAUUCUUGAAGCCUUUAUAACUCCUUUCAAAUAAAAUAUUUGGAACAUUGUCAAAAGUUGUUUCAAGCUCUAAUAAAAUCACCAAACAUUGGAAGUGUCUUUCAAGGUCACUAUAUCUAACCAUUUAUUCAAGAAAAGAUGUAUUAUUCUUCAGGAUCUUCAUCUCAAUUACAUCAUCUUAAAAGUUGUGACAAUCGCAAUGUUUCAUUUGAUAAGUCAAUAAGUGAUAGCUUUUGAGUUGAAUCUACUGAUCAUUAGUUCUUCAUCUCUUUAGUAUCAUAAAUACAAAAAAGUAUCAAACAAGAGUGGAAGGUAAAAUGCUAUCUUUUCUGGAUUUUAUUUCUUUAUAGCAAAGAUUUGUUAUUCUUCAUCUUGAUUUUGAUGGAAAUUGACAAUGAAAAAUUUCAACUUUCUUUAUUAUAUUUAUAAAAUUCUUUGCUAGCUUCCAUAUGCAUUUAUUAAUAUCAUAUCUGCGCUAAUAAAUAAGAUAUUCUAACACAUUUUGGCACUGUUAAAUUAUGUGAAGAUUUGCUCAAGAUUGUACUAAGCAUCUAAAUAUGGAAGGUAGAAUGGAAAUUACAACAAUAAAAUCCUAACUCUAAUAGAAUAUUAAAUAAAUUCUAAUUAAACCUUAAAAAUUCUAAGCAAGCUUUAAUCAUAUUCAAAAGAAACCUUAAAGAAAUUACAAAAGAAAUUAUAAAAAAUCUUAAAAGAAUUCAAAAAAAACUAUAAUAAAUCUUCAAAGAAUUCCUAAGAAAUUUUAAAGAAAUAUCAAAAUAUUAAAAAAUGCAUCUAAAAUAAAUCUCAACCAAAUCUUAAUUUAAUCUUAGUUAAAAUUCUAAUCGACUUCAAUCAAAUUCAAGGCCAAACCCUAAACUCUAAACUCUAAAACUUAAAUAAAUCUUAAAUCCUAAAUCUUAAGGAAAUAUCAAAUCUUAAAUAAAUCUUUAAUCAAAUCCUAAAUUCUAAUUCAAUCCUAAACUAUAAUCAAAUCUUAAUCAAAUCCUAAGCAAAUCCUAAAUCUUAAAUUUUAAAUCUUAAAUCCUACGCAAAUUCUAAGCAAAUCCUAAAUCCUAAAUCCUAAGCAAAUUCUAAUUCAAACCCUAAAUCUUAGUCCAAUCUAAAAUCUUAAUUAAACCUUAAAUAAAUCAUAAAUCCUAAUCUAAUCUUAAUCCUAAAUCAAACCUUAACCAAAAUCUAACCAACUCCAUCUAAUCUUGGCAUAAUUUAAAACCUCAAUAUCUAUCAAUUAAACUAUUGAUCUUCUUUAAAAUAUUCUAUACUUUUCAAAAAUUAAAUUAACAAAAAGCAUACAAAAUUUGAAGAUAAUUAUAUUUAUCAAAUAGAAGGAAAAUUCUAAAAUUUGCUUGAAUAUUGGCCUCCUACUUCAAUCUAAAUGUUGAACUUCAAGCACCAAUAUCUAUUUUUCAAACCAAUCAAUUAUUCUCAAAUCUCACAUAUGUGUAGCAAAUCAAGUCUAUUAUCUUUAUGCACAAAUUUCACUUUAAUUCAACUAGUAGAAUGCUAAAGAUCUUAGAAAUCCUACCUGUCCCUCAAAGUCCAAUUUCCAAGACCUCAACCUAUUUGAAAUUCAAUAAUCUUCAAUCCAACCAUUCGAUCAAGAUCAAACUUACAACAUAUAUUUUAGACAACUAUUUUAGAUAACUAUUUAUAUAAGUCCUCAAAAUCUAAAGCAUAGAUAUACCAUCAAAUUAACAAAAUUUUCCAAAAUAUAAUACCAUUUUUAUUUUACAUAUUCCAAAAUCAUCCAAAAUAAUUAUAACUUUGCAAAGCUUUUACAAAGUCAUUACAUACUCAAAUCACUCAAAAUUAGUACUUAAAGAAACCAUAUCAAGUCUGCUCAUAAAUCUUAUUCUUUCAUCUACCAAAGAAGCGUGGAGUUCUUAUAGGUGUUUAGUUUUGUACCUCAAGGUCUGAUUUUAAUCUAGAUUGAUAACCAGUCCUCUCCAAGUAUCAAAUUUUGUCUUUUUGAAUUAAUUUUUAUUCAAAUCAUCUUCUAACUUCUUAUAUAUAUUUAUAUUCUUUAUUUUUUUAAUUACCUUAUUUUGUAUUAUUUAUGGUCUUACAAAGUAAGUAGAAGCCUAUUUUAUAAAAAAGUAGUAUUUAUACUUUUAAUUUUACUUUCUUUUAGACUAUUAUAUAUUUUUUAAAAUAAUUUGCUAUAAUAUUUGAAGUAAGAUCUUCUAUAAUAUAAAAAUUUCUUCACCCUUUUCACCUAUUAGUCAUGUUACAGCAUGACAAUGCCACCUUAGUUCUAAAACUUCUUCUACUUUAAAUUCUUCAUUAUUAUCCACUUUUAUAGAGAGAGGUGGUAUUUUUCUUCUUCUUAAGAUAUUUAUUGUCUUAUGUGACUUAAGUAGAGUCAAAUAGAAUAUAAAAUAGAUCUUCAUAGAUUCUAGUAGAUGUAAUCAAUAAGCAAUAGGAUUGAUUUGUUCACUAAUAGGAAAAGGUCCAAGCCUACAAUAGAUAAUUUAUCACAAAGACAAGUAGUCUUGAUAUUUCUACAAAAUAGCCAUACCUUAUUAUCUACAUUAAAUUGUGGUUGUUCUUUACAAUACGCAUUUGCAUUGAUCUUUUUUUGUUCUUGAGCUUCUUUUAAUUGCGUCUUCACAAUUGCAUGUAGUUUCCAUAAACAACUUCUCAAAUCUUUUACUAUAAGAUAUCAAUUUUUAAAAAGUCAAAAGUAUCAAGUCAUGAAUCAUAAUCAUAAUUGAUAAAGAAAGAUGUUUGUUAAGUAGAAGAAUGUACCAAAUUAUUGUACGUAAACUUUACUAAUAGCAAAAGAGUUGUCCAAUCAUCUUGAGGAUAAUUAAUGAUACACCUCAAAUACCACUCCAAAACUUGAUUUAGCCAUUCUGUUUGUCCACGAGUUUGAAGAUAAAAAGCCAAAGAGAGUUCUAUAUCCACUUUUAAUAUUUUAAAAAGGGUUCUCUAAAAUCUUGAUAUAAAUUAAGUUUUCUUAUUUGAUAUAAUAUCUUUGAGUAAUCCAUGAUAAGAAUACAUGUGGUUAAAAAAAAACUUAGUCAUUUUUUCACCUGUGAUAGAUUUUGUACGUAGUGCAAAAUGUGCCAUCUUGGUAAAAAAAUAUACUAUCACAAAAUAUAGAAUCAUACAAACCUGAGAUUAAAAGAUUCAUGAUAAAAUCCAUAGAAAUAAAAAACCAUGGUUUUUUUAGAAUAGGUAAUAGUUGAAAAAAUUCAUAAUGUCGAUGAUGAAGAGUCUUAGAUCUUGAAAAAAUAUCAUAUGAUUGUAUAAAAACUUUGAUUGCCUUCUACAUUUGAGGCCACCAAAAAUCUCUAGAUAUUAGUUCAAAAAUCUUGUUGUAUUCAAAAUGUUCGAUUAUUAAGAAGUUAAGAUAAGUUUGAAGAAUACGUAAUUAUAUUUUGCCUUUUGAAAUAUAUAAUUUUCCUUUAAAGUAAAAUAAAUUAUUCUUAAAUUUGAACUUAAAAAUAUCAUGAGACUUAAAAGAAUUAUUUUUAAUAUCAUGAAGAAGGAAAUCAAAAGACAUACUUGAUUGAAUUUACUUGACAAAGAUUGAAUCAAUAGUCAAUGUUGAUUUUAUUGCUCAAAGAUGAAAAUACUUUGACUUAAAGAAAAUUGUUCUUUGUUUAUCAAAAGCUGCAUCUCCUUCUUUUGGUGCAAAAUAAAGAUGCUUAGAAAGAGCAAUGUGAUAAAUCUUAUCUAAAUCUACAAGUAAUCUUAAGAUCAAAUCUUGAUAAAAACAUACUCUAAUGGGCUUGGUAAUAAUUCAAAACAUGUGCCAAUAUGAACAACUAAAGAUUCUUGUGAUCGGUAUAUAUAAUAAUUCGACUAAAAGCGCCUUUUAGAUAAUGAUGUCAGUUUUCAAAUGAAUCAACAAUUGCAAAACCUCUUUAUUGUGGAUUUUGUAGUUAAUCUCAACUACUAAAAAUUUCCUAGAAUGAAAAGCAAUUGAAUAGAGUUUAUCACCUUCUUCCAUUUGUGAUAAAAUAUGAUCCAUAGUAAAAUCUAAUGCAUCUAUUUCCAUGAAGAACGUCUUAAAAAAAUUGACACAAUACAAAAUUGAUGCAAAAAUAAAUAUUACCUUUAAGGCUUCAAAAGAUGUUUUUUAUUUUUUUGUUCCACUAAAAGUUUGUCUUUAUAUAUUAGAUGUAUAAGAGGAGCCUCAACUUGAGAAAAAUUGUUGAAAAAUAUUUUAUAAUAAUUAAUAAUUCUAAAAAAAUAUUACAUAUCUUUGACUAUUUUUGUAACCUUUCAAUCCAUGAUAGUCUUGACCUUCUUAAGAUCCAUCAUUAAUCCUUUGUUGGAAAUAAUGUAUCUUAGAAAAUCAACUUGAGUAGUAUAAAACACACACUUUUUUAUCUUUGUAUAUAAUCCUACAUCUCUAAGUUUUUGUAAAAUACAAUGAACUUGAAGUUUACAUUCUUUUAUAUUCUUAAAAUAGAUUAGAAUGUUGGCUUAAUAAUGAAUAAUAAUAUUAUUAAAAAAUUCACAAAAGAUAUCAUUCAUGAGAUAUUAAAAAGUAGGUGGUGGAUUUAUGAGUCCAAAAGGUAUGAUAUUAUAUUCAAAAUAUCUAUAUUUAGUUUUAAAAGAAAUCUUCCACUCAUCUUUUUUUUUAAUAUAGACUACAUUGUAUGUUCUUUAUAGAUCUAUUUUUAUAUAGAUCUUUGCUUGAUUGAGUUAGACAAAAAGUCUUGAAAUCAAAGAUAAAAAAUACUUAUUUUUGAUAGUGAUCUUGUUAAGUUCAUGAUAGUCUAUGCUUAUUUACAGAGAUCUAUCUUUUUUCUUUACAAAUAAGAUAAGAGCUCUUGUUAGAAAUUUCGAAUAGCUUAUGAAGUAUUUAGCUAAUUUUUUAUUAAUGAAUUAUUUUACUAGAACUAAUUCAUUUUACAAUAAGCUAUAGAUUGCUUUGAAUGAUGGUUGAACUCCUUCUUAUAGAUCAAUUAUACAAUCAUAGAUUCAAUGCUCUAGAAGAAUAUCUAUCUAUAUAUAUAUAUAUAUAUAUAUAUUUUUUUUUUCAUUGUCUAAAUAUUGAUAUUAUCUAGAAAUAUCAUUUGACAUCUUUUUACUAUCAAAAAUGGAUGUAACAAAUAUAAUAAAAGAUGGCCUUUUAUUUGCCUCAUGCAUAAAAGCUCUUGCACUUAUUAUUAAGGGUUUGGAUGAACUAGACUUAUUUAUUUCUACUUCACUACUAGAAUUUUAAAUUAAACUAUAAAGAAAGUUGAAGUUACAAUAAAUCCAAUCUAUUUGAAGAUUUUAUUUUUCUAAAUACAAUAAUUCUAAAAUAACUAGAUUGGAGGAAGAUCAAAUCAUAUUAAAUAUUACUACCCUAUUAUGAUCUUUAAUUGCUACAUCUAAAGGAGCAGUCUCAUGAGUAACUUCUCGAAAAGACAACAAACAACCAUAUAUGACUUCGACAUGCACAAAUUUGAUUUCCUUGACAGAAGAUAAUUCUUAUUUUUUGACAAAGUUUUCAUCCGUAAAAGAGGAAAAGAGGUUAAGGUUCUUAAAUAUAAUGAUAUAAAAGCAUUGUGAUUUUAGGCUCCUACACAAACAACUAUUUUUUCGUUGUGGUUGCUAACAGUUCUAGAGAACGGAACCGCAUUGGGUAGUCGAUCAGCCUCUCCUCCACAGACAUAUUACGUGAGGUGACAUAUCUAUUCUGGAAUCAUCAGAAGGAGAUGCCUCAAAUUGACCCCGUCCGUGCAUACACCUUUGGGUCACAUUACUUUGCAGAAGUCGAUAUUGUGCUGGCAGCGGACAUGCCUCUGCGCCAGGCACAUGAUAUUGGCGAAUCACUUCAAGACAAACUUGAGUCGCUACCGGAGAUUGAACGAGCUUUUGUUCACCUCGAUUACGAGGUUACUCAUCGACCGGAGCAUGCCUACAGAGAUAAGUGACGAUGCACUAGGCGCACCAAUCCUGGCUUCGAGUCAGCCUUGCCAAGCAAACAACUCCACCCAACUGAUUGCCCCCCUCCCUCUGAAUGAUCUGAACUUCUUAGACUUCAUAACAAAAAGGACUAUCACUGUAAAUACCUGCUGCCCUCUCAAAACAAGAGAUAGGUCCCACAACACGCAGUUUUCAAACCAACUACCUUAAUAAAUGGUUGUGAAUCCAACACAAGCAAAGGAAAGGCAUACCAAAUGCCAUGAUCAAACGCAUCCGAGAAGUACCACAAGGGCUUCGAAAUCAGAUGGAAAACCUAGCGGCAGAAAACAAAUCAGGUUCGAUGUAACGACCAGCAUGUGAUUGAACAUGUCCACUUAAUACGAUUGAUGUAACCAAAUGCUCCAUAAACAGUCAAUAAACUUGGUUAGACGGACACGCUAGUUGCAUAUCCUCGAA
RNAcentral lists this long non-coding RNA (27442 nucleotides) under Physcomitrium patens. Its description in RNAcentral is "long non-coding RNA (PPAT_LNC004703)". The stretch from base 1351 to 1422 matches the Rfam family "tRNA". Lineage: Eukaryota; Viridiplantae; Streptophyta; Bryopsida; Funariales; Funariaceae. The record is from RNAcentral.